AGCAGCCGCGGUAAUUCCAGCUCCAAUAGCGUAUAUUAAAGUUGUUGCAGUUAAAAAGCUCGUAGUUGAAUUUCGGGAUUAGUACGCUGGUCGUGCCUUUGGUAUGUACUGGUGUUACUGGUUCCUACCUUCUGAAGAACCGUCAUGUCAUUAAUUUGGUGUGGCGGGGAAUCAGGACUGUUACUUUGAAAAAAUUAGAGUGUUUAAAGCAGGCUCGCGCUUGAAUACAUUAGCAUGGAAUAAUGAAAUAGGACGUUUGACCCUAUUUUGUUGGUUUCUAGGAUCGACGUAAUGAUUAAUAGGGACAGUUGGGGGCAUUAGUAUUCAAUUGUCAGAGGUGAAAUUCUUGGAUUUAUUGAAGACUAACUACUGCGAAAGCAUUUGCCAAGGAUGUUUUCAUUAAUCAAGAAGGAAAGUUAGGGGAUCGAAGACGAUCAGAUACCGUCGUAGUCUUAACCAUAAACUAUGCCGACUAGGGAUCGGAUGGAUUGUUAUUUAAUGAACUCAUUCGGCGCCUUAC
RNAcentral lists this ribosomal RNA (520 nucleotides) under uncultured Glomeromycotina. RNAcentral describes it as "SSU rRNA". It matches the Rfam family "Eukaryotic small subunit ribosomal RNA", at positions 569 to 1091 of the family's 1831-position model. The record is from RNAcentral. Lineage: Eukaryota; Fungi; Glomeromycota.